AAGGGAAGAAGACUAUUAGUAAGUCAAAUUAUGUUCUUCUAGGUUCAUGGUACAGAAAAAGGAUCACACUACCACCAGGGUCAUAAAACUACUCCUGGAAAUGCCCGCAACUCCUACGAAAGCCUUGUCAAAUAUGUGUUUCUUAGGUUCAUGGUACAGAAGAAGGAUCACACUACCACCAGGGUCAUAAAACUACUCCUGGAAAUGCCCGCAACUCCUACGAAAGCCUUGUCAAAUAUGUGUUUCUUAGGUUCACGGUACAGAAGAAGGAUCACACUACCACCAGGGUCAUAAAACUACUCCUGGAAAUGCCCGCAACUCCUACGAAAGCCUUGUCAAAUGUGUGUUUCUUAGGUUCAUGGUACAGAAGAAGGAUCACACUACCACCAGGGUCAUAAAACUACUCCUGGAAAUGCCCACAACUCCUACGAAAGCCUUGUCAAAUAUGUGUUUCUUAGGUUCAUGGUACAGAAGAAGGGUCACACUACCACCAGGGUCAUCAAACUA
Long non-coding RNA from Eriocheir sinensis (Chinese mitten crab), 507 nucleotides. RefSeq lists it as uncharacterized. NCBI's taxonomy places the organism in Eukaryota, Metazoa, Arthropoda, Malacostraca, Decapoda, Varunidae. The transcript has 2 exons. The record is from RefSeq and is a predicted model, not a curated record.